RNAcentral lists this small RNA (28 nucleotides) under Bombyx mori (domestic silkworm). Its description in RNAcentral is "piRNA piR-bmo-1668289". The record is from RNAcentral. Lineage: Eukaryota; Metazoa; Arthropoda; Insecta; Lepidoptera; Bombycidae.
GCACGAUCUUUAGCCCCAUACAGUAAAC